GCACACAUAAUUGUACUGUCUACACCUUGGCUGGACUACUUUUAUUGCAGAUGGUUGGGGCAGCUCCAGAGACAGGAGAGCUAUCUUCACAAAACAGCUCUUGUUCCUUCCCUCAAUCUAUCUUACUCUCUCCUUCAGAGAAUGUAAAAAAAUUUUAGGAAAUUUUUUGUCAAAGUGAUACCUGAACAAAUUGUAAUCGCAGCACUAUUCUGUGUUGCAUUAUUCAUACAAUAUUAUUAUUGCUAUAAUUGUGGUGUUUUUGAUGGUCAUGUACAAUAUGGAACUCUAUUGACAUGUACAC
Long non-coding RNA from Amphimedon queenslandica, 301 nucleotides. RefSeq lists it as uncharacterized. NCBI's taxonomy places the organism in Eukaryota, Metazoa, Porifera, Demospongiae, Haplosclerida, Niphatidae. The record is from RefSeq and is a predicted model, not a curated record. The transcript has 3 exons.